RNAcentral lists this ribosomal RNA (530 nucleotides) under uncultured bacterium. RNAcentral's name for it is "bacterial SSU rRNA". It matches the Rfam family "Bacterial small subunit ribosomal RNA", at positions 275 to 803 of the family's 1533-position model. The record is from RNAcentral.
GACGAUGCGUAGGGGUUCUGAGAGGAAGGUCCCCCACACUGGUACUGAGACACGGACCAGACUCCUACGGGAGGCAGCAGUGAGGAAUAUUGGUCAAUGGCCGCAGGGCUGAACCAGCCAAGUCGCGUGAGGGAUGACGGUCCUAUGGAUUGUAAACCUCUUUUGUCAGGGAGCAAAGGGCGCCACGUGUGGCGCUUUGCGAGUACCUGAAGAAAAAGCAUCGGCUAACUCCGUGCCAGCAGCCGCGGUAAUACGGAGGAUGCGAGCGUUAUCCGGAUUUAUUGGGUUUAAAGGGUGCGCAGGCGGAAUGUCAAGUCAGCGGUAAAAUUUCGGGGCUCAACCCCGUCGUGCCGUUGAAACUGGCGUUCUUGAGUGAGCGAGAAGUAUGCGGAAUGCGUGGUGUAGCGGUGAAAUGCAUAGAUAUCACGCAGAACUCCGAUUGCGAAGGCAGCAUACCGGCGCUCAACUGACGCUCAUGCACGAAAGCGUGGGUAUCGAACAGGAUUAGAUACCCUGGUAGUCCACGCAGU